UACGAGGGGGGCAAAUGUUGUUCGGAAUCACUGGGCGUAAAGGGAGCGUAGGCGGGUGUUUAAGUUAGGUGUUUAAUCCUGGGGCCCAACCCCAGUCGUGCACCUAAAACUGGACAUCUUGAAUAGUGGAGAGGUCAGUGGAAUUGGGGGUGUAGCGGUGGAAUGCGUAGAGAUCCCCAAGAACACCAGUUGCGAAGGCGGCUGACUGGACAAAUAUUGACGCUGAGGCUCGAAAGCAUGGGGAGCAAACAGG
Molecule: ribosomal RNA, 253 nt
Filed under: uncultured bacterium
Lineage: Bacteria
Description: partial 16S ribosomal RNA
Rfam family: Bacterial small subunit ribosomal RNA
Source: RNAcentral